AUUGAACGCUGGCGGCAGGCCUAACACAUGCAAGUCGAACGGUAACAGGAAGCAGCUUGCUGCUUUGCUGACGAGUGGCGGACGGGUGAGUAAUGUCUGGGAAACUGCCUGAUGGAGGGGGAUAACUACUGGAAACGGUAGCUAAUACCGCAUAACGUCGCAAGGCCAAAGAGGGGGACCUUAGGGCCUCUUGCCAUCGGAUGUGCCCAGAUGGGAUUAGCUAGUAGGUGGGGUAACGGCUCACCUAGGCGACGAUCCCUAGCUGGUCUGAGAGGAUGACCAGCCACAAUGGAACUGAGACACGGUCCAGACUCCUACGGGAGGCAGCAGUGGGGAAUAUUGCACAAUGGGCGCAAGCCUGAUGCAGCCAUGCCGCGUGUAUGAAGAAGGCCUUCGGGUUGUAAAGUACUUUCAGCGGGGAGGAAGGGAGUAAAGUUAAUACCUUUGCUCAUUGACGUUACCCGCAGAAGAAGCACCGGCUAACUCCGUG
RNAcentral lists this ribosomal RNA (490 nucleotides) under uncultured bacterium. RNAcentral describes it as "partial 16S ribosomal RNA". It matches the Rfam family "Bacterial small subunit ribosomal RNA", at positions 30 to 507 of the family's 1533-position model. The record is from RNAcentral.